AAGGUGGGAGGAGGGUGGGGAUGAUGUCAAAUCAUCAUGGCCUAUAUGCCCUGGGCUACACCCCUGCUACAGUGGCUGGUACAAAGGGCAGCCACAGGGUGACCGGGAGCUAAUGUCUAAAUCCAGUCUCAGUUGGGAUUGGAGUUUGCAGUACGAAUUUAAGAAGUUGGAAUGGUUAGGAAUGGCGCAUCAGCAACGGAGGGGUGAAUAUGUUGUGGGCCCUGGCCCCCGCCGCCCGUCAAUCCAUGGGAGUGGGACGUACCUAAAGUCAGUAACGC
Molecule: ribosomal RNA, 278 nt
Filed under: uncultured Enhygromyxa sp.
Lineage: Bacteria; Pseudomonadati; Myxococcota; Nannocystales; Nannocystaceae
Description: partial 16S ribosomal RNA
Rfam family: Bacterial small subunit ribosomal RNA
Source: RNAcentral